GACGAACGCUGGCGGCGUGCCUAAUACAUGCAAGUAGAACGCAGUUGCGAACGGGUGGGUAACGCGUAGGUAACUGCCUCAUAGCGGGGGAUAACUAUUGGAAACGAUAGCUAAUACCGCAUACUGUGCGCUGGACCUGCGUUGUAUUAGCUAGUUGGUGCGGUAAAGGCUCACCAAGGCGACGAUACAUAGCCGACCUGAGAGGGUGAUCGGACACACUGGGACUGAGACACGGCCCAGACUCCUACGGGAGGCAGAAGUAGGGAAUCGUAGGCAAUGGAAGGAAGUCGGAGCGAGAAACGCCGCGUGAGUGAAGAAGGUUCUCGGAUCGUAAAGCUAUGUGGUUAGAGAAGCGGUAACUAAACAGAAAGCGACGGCUAAUUACGUGCCAGCAGCCGCGGUAAUUC
Molecule: ribosomal RNA, 407 nt
Filed under: uncultured bacterium
Lineage: Bacteria
Description: partial 16S ribosomal RNA
Rfam family: Bacterial small subunit ribosomal RNA
Source: RNAcentral